Molecule: ribosomal RNA, 745 nt
Filed under: uncultured bacterium
Lineage: Bacteria
Description: bacterial SSU rRNA
Rfam family: Bacterial small subunit ribosomal RNA
Source: RNAcentral
ACGCUGGCGGCAGGCCUAACACAUGCAAGUCGAGCGGUAGAGAGAAGCUUGCUUCUCUUGAGAGCGGCGGACGGGUGAGUAAUGCCUAGGAAUCUGCCCGGUAGUGGGGGAUAACGUUCGGAAACGGACGCUAAUACCGCAUACGUCCUACGGGAGAAAGCAGGGGACCUUCGGGCCUUGCGCUAUCAGAUGAGCCUAGGUCGGAUUAGCUAGUUGGUGAGGUAAUGGCUCACCAAGGCGACGAUCCGUAACUGGUCUGAGAGGAUGAUCAGUCACACUGGAACUGAGACACGGUCCAGACUCCUACGGGAGGCAGCAGUGGGGAAUAUUGGACAAUGGGCGAAAGCCUGAUCCAGCCAUGCCGCGUGUGUGAAGAAGGUCUUCGGAUUGUAAAGCACUUUAAGUUGGGAGGAAGGGCAGUUACCUAAUACGUGAUUGUUUUGACGUUACCGACAGAAUAAGCACCGGCUAACUCUGUGCCAGCAGCCGCGGUAAUACAGAGGGUGCAAGCGUUAAUCGGAAUUACUGGGCGUAAAGCGCGCGUAGGUGGUUUGUUAAGUUGGAUGUGAAAUCCCCGGGCUCAACCUGGGAACUGCAUUCAAAACUGACUGACUAGAGUAUGGUAGAGGGUGGUGGAAUUUCCUGUGUAGCGGUGAAAUGCGUAGAUAUAGGAAGGAACACCAGUGGCGAAGGCGACCACCUGGACUGAUACUGACACUGAGGUGCGAAAGCGUGGGGAGCAAAC